Felis catus (domestic cat) is the source of this 1348-nucleotide long non-coding RNA. RefSeq lists it as uncharacterized. Lineage: Eukaryota; Metazoa; Chordata; Mammalia; Carnivora; Felidae. The transcript is spliced from 2 exons. The record is from RefSeq and is a predicted model, not a curated record.
CCACAAUCAUUAUUCUCAUAAAGGGGAUCUGAGAGUGUCACUCCUAGAGGUGCCUACGAAAUCCGGGACUGAAUGGAAACUGAAACAAGGGUUGGCUGCUCCCAACCUCUGCCCAGUCCCCUGGCCCUGCAUUCUCACGGGGACUUGAGGUCCUCGAAACUCCUCUUGCCUUCCUUGUUCCCUUUGCGGGAAAUACCAUUCUGUUUAAGCCCUGGGGCCGGCUCCAGUGCUGUGGGAUUUAGACCUCAUUCCUCUGUGUAUGUACCUGACUUUAGGUGCUUGGCAGGGACAUGUGUGUAGCCUGGGUGAAUGCCUGGGGGGAGACAGUUUUCUUCCCAGGCUCCUGCACACCGUGUCCCCUUCCUUUUUGCAGAUUGCGGUCCUGAAACCUCCCUCCACCUCCAGUGGAUGCCCCUCCUCCCUUUUCUUACGGUUGCCUGAGCCUUUCUGCUUUGAAUCCCAUAAUGAAUGUACCUCACACUGUUGCUACUUCAUUCUAGAGUUGAGCCACGUGGCAUUAUCUGUGCCAUGUGUCUGCCCCACCUGUGAGUUUUGCCUGGCGAAGACUGUGUCUCAGACACCCCUCCCCACCAUGUCACAUCAUAGCUUGGGAAUGUGGCGGAUUCUCGAUGCAACCACGAGGACAUCCGCUCCGCAGCAAGCCGGAGAGCAGAUGCAAUCCGCGCGCAAAUUCGGGGGAUACUUGCAUGCAGUAGGGCCAGGUGUGCAGAGGGCUGAGCGGGGCCUGCCCUCCCCUGCCAGGUGCAUCCCCUACCCCAAGCCACGGCACUCCAGUGGGGUGGCGUGAAGACCCGAGAACUACACUCCGCCAGGCGAGCCCCUUCUUUUUAAAAACAUCCAGAGAGAGACAAGGUAGGAGAGUCACCAGUUUCUGUGCUGAAUUGAAGCAAGUCUUUGUUUUUCUGGAGGUGUUCGUUCUUAAAACGUGGAAAUAAAAUCAUCUUAACUGACAUGACACGAAGACACUCAGAAGGCAUACACGGGCAGGGCAGGGGUACGAAAUUAAUCAGGGCUCCGUGCCACAGCUCCUAAGACACUGACUACACGGACAACUUGAAAUCAGUGGCCCUGCUGCCUCCUCUUGCCAAUCCAGCUCUGUGGGGACAAUACUGUCUCCUUGGAAGGAGUUAGCUUGUUUGGGCCUAGAAAGGCCUUUGGGUUCUAGAGUUGACAGGGCUUUGCUUUACCUCAGUGACAAAUACCUGUCAACGUCACUCCCACUUUUUCUGGAGAAUGUUUCAAUCUACAGACACAUUGUCAUAUUGUAUGUCUUUGAGUUUGCAUUGUGUUGUUACAUAUAGAUUUAGUUCAUUCAUUUAAAAUGGUG